GACAGAGGGUGCGAACGUUGUUCGGAAUUACUGGGCGUAAAGCGCGUGUAGGCGGUCCAGCAAGUCGGGUGUGAAACCCCUAGGCUCAACCUGGGAAGUGCAUUCGAUACUGUUGGACUGGAGUCCCGGAGAGGAUGGUGGAACUCUCGGUGUAGAGGUGAAAUUCGUAGAUAUCGGGAAGAACAUCGGUGGCGAAGGCGGCCAUCUGGACGGUGACUGACGCUGAGACGCGAAAGCGUGGGGAGCAAACAGG
Molecule: ribosomal RNA, 253 nt
Filed under: uncultured bacterium
Lineage: Bacteria
Description: partial 16S ribosomal RNA
Rfam family: Bacterial small subunit ribosomal RNA
Source: RNAcentral